Molecule: ribosomal RNA, 253 nt
Filed under: uncultured bacterium
Lineage: Bacteria
Description: partial 16S ribosomal RNA
Rfam family: Bacterial small subunit ribosomal RNA
Source: RNAcentral
UACGGAGGGUGCAAGCGUUGCUCGGAAUUAUUGGGCGUAAAGGGCAGGUAGGUGGUCUCAUUUGUCCGGGGUGAAAUCCUUGGGCUUAACUUAAGAAGUGCCCCGGAGACGGUGAGACUGGAGUUUUGGAGAGGGUCGUGGAAUUCCCGGUGUAGCGGUGAAAUGCGUAGAGAUCGGGAGGAACACCAGAGGCGACAGCGGCGACCUAGACAAUACCUGACACUCAACUGCGAAAGCGUGGGGAGCAAACAGG